This is a long non-coding RNA of Betta splendens (Siamese fighting fish), 3976 nucleotides long. RefSeq lists it as uncharacterized. The transcript is spliced from 3 exons. The record is from RefSeq and is a predicted model, not a curated record. NCBI's taxonomy places the organism in Eukaryota, Metazoa, Chordata, Actinopteri, Anabantiformes, Osphronemidae.
UAGAGUCUGAGGGACAGAGAGGAGACGUGCAGAUAUAAUGAACAAUGUCUAGUGACGGGAGAACAGAACCUGACCUUUAGAGGACUCAUCCUGGUUCUGUUCUGUUUACAGCAAGGAGUGAAGUACAUAAUGUAGAAACACAACAAGGCAGAGAUUGCACGGACUGAAACAGAACCUUCCCCAGUAACGCUCACGUCGAGCUCAGAGUCACAGCGAAACGUCGUCGAUCUGAUGGAACCGGUCCGAAUGUGUGUGCUGUGAAGGUGCUGCAGGAUGAUGUCAUUUCACUUAGGGCAGAGGAAUGAGGUCAGUAAAUAGGAAACAUAUGUAGACACAGUAACAUGCAGUGUCUGACGGAUGGUCCAACCAGGAACCUUCACAGAACCUCUUUAAUCAGAGCUGAGUAAAGUCCUUGUGGACGGGAAGCGUCCUCGCAUGAGCAGUGGGACAGACGCAGCUAAAGACAGAGACCUUGAGCCAUUAGAGCCAGUGUGGGUUCCUCGUGCUGCAGAGGGUGAUACGACAUGGAACAUUUUCUUGUCUGAGCUCAGGCUGUUUCUACACACACGCACUCAGGAAAGCCAGGGUGCAUUAGCCCAGACCGGACAGACAGGAACCGCCGUGAUCGGAGCAUCGCUGUAAUCCUUCCUCAGGAAGCAGGAUCUGCGAGCGGGUCCUGGACCACAGCAUCAAUGUGGGAACGUGAGGAUGAAGGAGAACAUGUGCCUGCAAACCCCUGAACACAGCGGCUUCCUGUGUGAGCCCAGCUCCCGAUGUUUAAUGUGCUACAGCUCUGGCCACAGUGAGGAGAAGGAUCAGAUCUGGAUCUGGAACCAGAACAAAGAACUGGCCUGUUCCAGAAGAAUCUGAAAAGAAGCGUGGAGCCGUUACACGAGGACAGAGACUGAACCAGUCCAACCCAGACUCACUGAUGUAUGUUGGUGUUUUCAACUCUUCCGCCUGAUUAACAUCUGCUUGUUGCCAACGGUUACCAAACAAACAGGCUGAAACAAUGGAGUCCGAAUAGAAAGGCCUCAGUGCCUUUCUGUCUGCGGGGGAGGAAACAUGAGAUGUUAUACUCAGAAAGAGACACGACGACGCUGGGAAAGAAUUAAACUUCUGAGUUGGUGUUUGCUUCCAGGAUGUCACUGGCCGCUUUCACACUGUCAAUCAAACUAAAGCUGGAGAACCGAGUCUGGGUCAGGACGGUUCUGGGUUUAGAAUGAGGCUGAGAGGGACAGGAAGCCAAACCGGGUUACAGAACUGGUGCAGUAGCACAUUCUGCACAGGGUCCUCUAGAGACGCAGCAGGUGAGGCCACUGGGAGACAUUUGGAGCCAAAGGUUUUUAAGUUUGAGGACCAGGUCGGGUUCAGACCAAAUCUAGAGUCAGAGUGAUCAUCAGCUGUUUAUCCUGGAGACACUCACACAGCUCACACCUAUAAAGACAGAAGAGCUCUCACAGCUGGUGAGUCAGCUGAUCAAACUGCUGACUGUAGAUGAAGACAUGUGAUGUCACCACUGUGAUCCUGUCGCCCUCACCCAGAUGCAUUCUGGGAGGUGUAGGACACACAGCAGGGACUCCUCAUCUUUCAGAGUGCAUGUGCCGGUCCAGAGGCCGCUGGCAGCCGCUCGGUUCCUCCAGCAGGAAACAUGAGCUCAUCAGCUGUCUGAGCCCAGAGACGCUGGCUUCAUUCGAGCAUUCCUGCGCCGUGACUGCUCCCACACAUGUUAACCAUUACACUGAGACUGACACAAUGACCCACAACAUACCGGUACCGGGCUACGCUAGCUCUUCUAAUGGUUACAGAGCAUCAGCAGCUCUGUUCUCUCCAACUCGGCUGGAGCUGAAACCAUGAGCUCGUUCAUCUCAGGGAUCUGUUCAUAGAGCGUCUUGCGAAACAAGGUUCUGGUCCAGACACCAGGUAACGUCCUUCACCCGAUGCCUUUUCUCCUAGUAAGUAACAAUAGUAAUUAAUCUCUCAGCAGCACUACUGACACACUGACCAGUCAGUGAUCCACAUUACGUCUGUCUCGUUUCUAUGUGCCAUGUUUGUCAGCAGAACCUGUGACCUGGGUUUGUUCUGGCAGCAGGCGCUGGAUGUUUGUGACAGCAAAGUGGACAAGACUUCCAGAACUCCCUAAGUUCUGGUGCUUCCAUCAGAACCGUCUGAACUGACUUGUCCUCGCUGGAUCUCUGCUGGUUUCCUCCCUCCAGUCUAUUUUCAGCAGCUGUCGGUGGAGCGACAGCAGAGCCCAGCUGUCGUGCCAUCAAUCAGCCCCGUGAUCCCCCUCCAGGCCUCACAGAACCCGACCAGCGUGCGCAGAGUUCCCGGAAUGUUCAGGAACGACGAGGUUGAUUCUUUUAGAGCUGCUCCUUCAUUAAAGCUUUUACUUUCAACACUUUACUGGAAAGAGGCACAGAAUGAAGUCCAAGUAUGAACACGUGUCUGGACUCAGGUCCAUCAGGAGGAGCGAUCAGGUCCGACACUGGGAUGUUUGUUAUCUGAUCCGCUGGGGGAACCCUUCUGGAAAGAUCCACUUGGUCAGCGCUCGUCCAUUCAGAACCACCAACACGAGCCAACAGGAAGCAGAGGAACCUUCCACACAUUGAAGCUGCACCCGGACAAUGAGUGAAAUAACGAGGUUUAAUUUUCAACGGAGCUUCUCUGGUUUUGUUAUGAACCAGGUUGCGCUCUGUUCUGAGCAGAAAUUUGUCCUGAAGGCAACGUGUGGUUCCACCUUUACAACCGAAGUCGUUGCUGGUCGUUUAAGGGAACCUCCUCGUGACAGAAAGAGCAGCCACACUAACGGCGUGCUUGGUUCCGGUUGUUCGGCACAACUAGGCGGCCACCACGUGAACACCGUGAAGCGGCUCCCCCCUGGAACGCACGUUUCGCGUCGUUUGACCACUUACCGAUGGAAACCAGUUUGAUGUGCUCCCUCUCCAGGAACUCCAGCGCCACAGAAACGUUCUCCAGCUUCAUCUGCCUGAAGUUGGGUCUGCUGUGAUACUUCCUGUACAUCUUCUUCUGGCUCAGCACCUCCAGCAGCCCGAUCAGCUUGAGCCCGUCGCUCAGGUCCUUCUGCAGGUCGUUGAUGCGCUUGUUGAGGACCUUCAGGUGCUCGUUGCACCACCUGGUGAACGUGUUCUGCUGGAUCUUCUUCCACGGAGCAUCCUCCGCGAGGUCCUUCUCGGUGGCGGGCAUCUCCUCCUCCUCCUCCUCGAUGUCGGCGGAGCUCUGGUAGAAGUGCGGAGGCAGGAGCUGCGGCUCCAAGUAGCCGCUGUUUUUCAUCAUGGUGCCUUUUUAUAGCACAAAUCCGAGUGGGAAGAGAAGAGAAGUUGGGAAAACGAGAGGACGGGGGAGAGGCGCCCGGCCCGCUGGGAGUGACGCUCCGCGCUCCACCGAGUUCAAGGCAGAGAAAGACUCCGUUUGUUCCUUUCGGGCCAACUCGGAACCAAGUAGUGGGUCGACGGGCAGGAGAAGCAGGGACUGCGGCGGAGCAGCGAGUCGGGGUUUAAGAGGCUCGUCGUCACUGCGCUGGCCUCCCAGGAAUGUCCCCGCCGUGACCAUAUACAACGGCGGCCCGGGCACCGCUCGCCCGCCGCUCAUUGGGCGGCGGCGGCAGGGGGCGGGGUCAGACGGACCCCCGCAGCCCUGGCCCCGGACCCGCGGUGACACCUCCGCGUAUUUUUAGAGGCUCCGGAGCGGAGGCGGACGCCGAGAGCUGGCUGAAAAGCUGCUCGUAAAGCGGCAUCAUCCGCAGACAGUCUGUUGGAAAGAAGGGAAACGAAAAAUAACGGAGAUAAACCAAUAACCUGCUUUACUUUAUGCCAACGUGAAGCUGAGUGGAACUCACGUGUUCCAGCAUUAUUUAAAAACCCACUGCUCCAUUUAAAGUUUACUAUAAAAGCAGUGAGUCACAGUUGUGUCCUCAUCCAGUAAAAAGCUGGACAGUAAAUAUAGAGAAACUAAA